GAUGAAGAACGUAGCGAAAUGCGAUAAGUAAUGCGAAUUGCAGAAUUUCCGUGAGUCAUCGAAUCUUUGAACGCACAUUGCACCUCUCGGUAUUCCGGGAGGUAUGCCUGUUCGAGCGUCAUUUGUACCCUCAAGCUCUGCUUGGUGUUGGGUGUUUGUUCCGCCUCUGUGUGUGAACUCGCCUCAAAACAAUUGGCAGCCGGCGUACUUGUUUCGGAGCGCAGCACAUUUUGCGAUCCAGAUCAACGUACAGCGGCAUCCAAGAAGCCUUAUUUAACGCUCUUGACCUCGGAUCAGGUAGGGAUACCCGCUGAACUUAAGCAUAUCAAUAAGCGGAGGA
This 340-nucleotide unclassified non-coding RNA is filed under the name soil metagenome. Its description in RNAcentral is "partial contains 5.8S ribosomal RNA, internal transcribed spacer 2, and large subunit ribosomal RNA". The stretch from base 1 to 121 matches the Rfam family "5.8S ribosomal RNA", at positions 35 to 154 of the family's 154-position model. The record is from RNAcentral.